AGCUGUUGCUGCCGGCCUUCACCAGAGCCACAGCAACUCGAGAUCCAAGCCACAUCUGCGACCUACACCACAGCUCACGACAACGCUGGAUCCCCAACCCACUGAGUGAGGCCAGGGAUUGAAGCCGAAACCUCAUGGUUCCUAGUCGGAUUCACUGCUGCUGCACCACGACGGGAACGUCUCUAACUCAUUUUUAACUAUGAAACUAUUUAUUUUACUUAGGUUGAAACUGUAACUUAAGUUCAAGUCUUAUAACCUCUUGGAAAACAAGAACAUCACCAUCUCUUACAAACCCUAAUAGAGACAUUUUAUUCUUUUAUUCAUCGGAGUUUUCAAUGGUCCUAAAAAGUAGCAUAAGGGAGUUUCUAUUUAUAGAGGGCCUGUUACAUGUCAGGCACUGACUAGUUGCUUUCUUUUAAGCCUUCCUACUAUACUGAAAUGGGUACAGAGACAUGUUUUUUUCCUUAAAAACUGACUUAUUGAAGAGGUCUGCUUAAAAAUAGCACUUAGGAGUUCCCAUCAUGGCUCAGCAGUUAACGAACCCGACUAGCAUCCAUGAGGUUGCGGGUUCGAUCCCUGACCUCACUCAUGGGUUAAGGAUCUGGCAUUGCCGUGAGCUGUGGUGUAGGUUGCAGAUGCAGCCUGAAUCCUGCAUUGCUGUGGCUGUGGUGUAGGCCGGCGGCUACAGCUCUGAUUAGACCCCCAGCCUGGGUACCUCCCUCCACGUGCCUUGGGGAGCGGCCCUAGAAAAGGCGAAAAGACAAAAAAAAUUUUAAAAAUUAAAAAAAAUAAAGAGAGUCAGCCUUUAUCCCUGAGAUCUGUCUUCUGCCUACAACCUGACCCCAGGGGGCAUAAGCAAAAAUUCAGAAAGCUGCUUGUCAAAAAACUAUCUAAGUCUUAGGGCAUAAGCAACACCAUUGGGGUGGGGGGGUCCCUCUAAAAUUACAGCGUAACACAAAAAGGGGAUAGAGGUCUCUUCCACUUUAGAACAUAACUUCUCAUUCUGGACAUCCCGGGACUAGAGCAGGGUUUCUCCAUCUCAGCCCUGCUGAUAUUUGGGGACAGAUACUUCUUUGUUGUGAGGCCUGUCCUGAACAUUGCGGGACAUGUGUAGCAUGCCUGGCCUUUACCCACUAGAUGCCAACAGCACCUGCCCCCAAGUUGGGACAACCCAAAAUGUCUCCAGAUCUCUCCAAAUGUCCCCUAGGGGACAAAACUGCCUAGCUGAUCACCACUGCUUCUGGUUAUUAGUGGUUGUGGCAAUAACUAAGAGGGGACUUCAGUGCCCCCUGGAAGUGGCAGUGAUGCACAGCUGCAAAAAUAAAGGUGCCUGGAAGAUAUGUCCGUGCUGGGGACAGGGACGACUGUGUGUGUGUGGGGGGGGGAGGGUUUGCUGGGUGGGGACAGCAGGUGAGGAGAGCAGCUUCCAAAGCAGAAAGUAUAUAUAUAUAUUUUUUAAGAAAGGCACAAACAGGACUCCAUGCCAGCAGAACAGCAUCUGGCCAGUCCCACCCUGAAAUACUCUGGGAGACUGCAAAGGGCUAGGGGACCAAAAGAACAAGAAAGCAGUGGGGAGAAACUGUGAAAUAUACUCUUUGUCUUUCC
Molecule: long non-coding RNA, 1605 nt
Filed under: Sus scrofa (pig)
Lineage: Eukaryota; Metazoa; Chordata; Mammalia; Artiodactyla; Suidae
Description: lncRNA (ENSSSCG00065068608.1)
Source: RNAcentral